UACGUAGGGAGCAAGCGUUGUCCGGAAUCAUUGGGCGUAAAGCGCGCGUAGGUGGCCUCGUAAGUCCGCUGUGAAAGUCCAAGGCUCAACCUUGGAAAGCCGGUGGAUACUGUGAGGCUAGAGUACGGAAGAGGCGAGUGGAAUUCCUGGUGUAGCGGUGGAAUGCGCAGAUAUCGGAAGGAACAUCAGUGGCGAAAGCGACUUCCUGGACCAAUACUGACGCUCAUGUGCGAAAGCGUGGGGAGCAAACAGG
Molecule: ribosomal RNA, 253 nt
Filed under: uncultured bacterium
Lineage: Bacteria
Description: partial 16S ribosomal RNA
Rfam family: Bacterial small subunit ribosomal RNA
Source: RNAcentral